GGUCAUAACUGGGGCAGUGAGCAUGACCCAGAUACCGAUUCUUGUGCCCCGUCCACCUCAUCUGGGGGCCGGUACAUCAUGUAUCCCUCCGCGGUCUCGGGGUACGAAAAAAAUAAUCAGCUGUUUUCUCCAUGCAGCAGACAGUAUAUAUUCAAUGUCAUCAAGACAAAGGGCUACAACUGCUUUAAAGAGUCCUCUGGUAAGUUUUAAUUUCUUUCCCCCCUGUGUUUGUUUAAUUUUAAACAGCUAGCCAUUAUAGUGAAUAUAUGCUUAUACUCAAACUUCUGUACAUAAACAUCAAAAACUUUAGCUUCAUUUCCUCUACAUGCAAUGGUAUUUCUCUUAAGGGUACUGGC
Saccostrea cuccullata (small rock oyster) is the source of this 356-nucleotide long non-coding RNA. RefSeq lists it as uncharacterized. The record is from RefSeq and is a predicted model, not a curated record. The transcript has 3 exons. Lineage: Eukaryota; Metazoa; Mollusca; Bivalvia; Ostreida; Ostreidae.